UGAACGCUGGCGGCGUGCCUAAUACAUGCAAGUCGAGCGAACAGAUAAGGAGCUUGCUCCUUUGACGUUAGCGGCGGACGGGUGAGUAACACGUGGGUAACCUACCUAUAAGACUGGAAUAACUCCGGGAAACCGGGGCUAAUGCCGGAUAAUAUUUAGAACCGCAUGGUUCUAAAGUGAAAGAUGGUUUUGCUAUCACUUAUAGAUGGACCCGCGCCGUAUUAGCUAGUUGGUGGGGUAAUGGCUUACCAAGGCAACGAUACGUAGCCGACCUGAGAGGGUGAUCGGCCACACCGGAACUGAGACACGGUCCAGACUCCUACGGGAGGCAGCAGUAGGGAAUCUUCCGCAAUGGGCGAAAGCCUGACGGAGCAACGCCGCGUGAGUGAUGAAGGUCUUCGGAUCGUAAAACUCUGUUAUUAGGGAAGAACAAAUGUGUAAGUAACUGUGCACGUCUUGACGGUACCUAAUCAGAAAGCCACGGCUAACUACGUGCCAGCAGCCGCG
This 507-nucleotide ribosomal RNA is filed under the name uncultured bacterium. RNAcentral describes it as "bacterial SSU rRNA". It matches the Rfam family "Bacterial small subunit ribosomal RNA", at positions 30 to 519 of the family's 1533-position model. The record is from RNAcentral.